RNAcentral lists this ribosomal RNA (486 nucleotides) under uncultured Bacteroidota bacterium. RNAcentral's name for it is "bacterial SSU rRNA". It matches the Rfam family "Bacterial small subunit ribosomal RNA", at positions 355 to 838 of the family's 1533-position model. Lineage: Bacteria; Pseudomonadati; Bacteroidota. The record is from RNAcentral.
UAAGGAAUAUUGGUCAAUGGACGCAAGUCUGAACCAGCCAUGCCGCGUGGAGGAUGAAGGCCCUCUGGGUUGUAAACUUCUUUUAUAGGGGACGAAACCCUGGUAUUCUUACCAGAUUGACGGUACCCUAGGAAUAAGCACCGGCUAACUCCGUGCCAGCAGCCGCGGUAAUACGGAGGGUGCAAGCGUUAUCCGGAUUCACUGGGUUUAAAGGGUGCGUAGGAGGGCAGGUAAGUCAGUGGUGAAAUCUCCAAGCUUAACUUGGAAACUGCCGUUGAUACUAUCUGUCUUGAAUAUUGUGGAGGUGAGCGGAAUAUGUCAUGUAGCGGUGAAAUGCUUAGAUAUGACAUAGAACACCAAUUGCGAAGGCAGCUCGCUACUCAAUUAUUGACUCUGAGGCACGAAAGCGUGGGGAUCAAACAGGAUUAGAUACCCUGGUAGUCCACGCCCUAAACUAUGGAUACUCGACAUACGCGAUAUACAGUG